UACCAGCUGGCUGCAACUGUUUAUUAAAAACACAGCACUGUGCAAACACGAAAGUGGACGUAUACGGUGUGACGCCUGCCCGGUGCCGGAAGGUUAAUUGAUGGGGUCAGCGCAAGCGAAGCUCCUGAUCGAAGCCCCGGUAAACGGCGGCCGUAACUAUAACGGUCCUAAGGUAGCGAAAUUCCUUGUCGGGUAAGUUCCGACCUGCACGAAUGGCGUAAUGAUGGCCAGGCUGUCUCCACCCGAGACUCAGUGAAAUUGAACUCGCUGUGAAGAUGCAGUGUACCCGCGGCAAGACGGAAAGACCCCGUGAACCUUUACUAUAGCUUGACACUGAACAUUGAGCCUUGAUGUGUAGGAUAGGUGGGAGGCUUUGAAGUGUGGACUCCAGUCUGCAUGGAGCCGACCUUGAAAUACCACCCUUUAAUGUUUGAUGUUCUAACGUGGACCCGUAAUCCGGGUUGCGGACAGUGUCUGGUGGGUAGUUUGACUGGGGCGGUCUCCUCCUAAAGAGUAACGGAGGAGCACGAAGGUUGGCUAAUCCUGGUCGGACAUCAGGAGGUUAGUGCAAUGGCAUAAGCCAGCUUGACUGCGAGCGUGACGGCGCGAGCAGGUGCGAAAGCAGGUCAUAGUGAUCCGGUGGUUCUGAAUGGAAGGGCCAUCGCUCAACGGAUAAAAGGUACUCCGGGGAUAACAGGCUGAUACCGCCCAAGAGUUCAUAUCGACGGCGGUGUUUGGCACCUCGAUGUCGGCUCAUCACAUCCUGGGGCUGAAGUAGGUCCCAAGGGUAUGGCUGUUCGCCAUUUAAAGUGGUACGCGAGCUGGGUUUAGAACGUCGUGAGACAGUUCGGUCCCUAUCUGCCGUGGGCGCUGGAGAACUGAGGGGGGCUGCUCCUAGUACGAGAGGACCGGAGUGGACGCAUCACUGGUGUUCGGGUUGUCAUGCCAAUGGCACUGCCCGGUAGCUAAAUGCGGAAGAGAUAAGUGCUGAAAGCAUCUAAGCACGAAACUUGCCCCGAGAUGAGUUCUCCCUGAGACUUUAGGUCUCCUGAAGGAACGUUGAAGACGACGACGUUGAUAGGCCGGGUGUGUAAGCGCAGCGAUGCGUUGAGCUAACCGGUACUAAUGAACCGUGAGGCUUAACCUUACAACGCCGAAG
Molecule: ribosomal RNA, 1159 nt
Filed under: Salmonella enterica subsp. enterica serovar Chailey
Lineage: Bacteria; Pseudomonadati; Pseudomonadota; Gammaproteobacteria; Enterobacterales; Enterobacteriaceae
Description: partial 23S ribosomal RNA
Rfam family: Bacterial large subunit ribosomal RNA
Source: RNAcentral